This 63-nucleotide transfer RNA is filed under the name Rattus norvegicus (Norway rat). It matches the Rfam family "tRNA". Rfam says of the family: Transfer RNA (tRNA) molecules are approximately 80 nucleotides in length. Their secondary structure includes four short double-helical elements and three loops (D, anti-codon, and T loops). The record is from Rfam by way of RNAcentral. Lineage: Eukaryota; Metazoa; Chordata; Mammalia; Rodentia; Muridae.
GGGGAUUUAGCUCAGUGGUUGAGCGCUUGCCUAGCAAGUGCAAGGCCCUGGGUUCAGUCCCCA